This 396-nucleotide long non-coding RNA is filed under the name Mytilus galloprovincialis (Mediterranean mussel). Lineage: Eukaryota; Metazoa; Mollusca; Bivalvia; Mytilida; Mytilidae. The record is from RNAcentral.
CGUGUGUUUUUAAGCUCUGGAUUUCGGGAUUGACCCUUUCCAGAUCCCGGAAAUUCUUUUUUCGAAUUUCAGAAUGUCAGGAUUUAAUUUAUUUAAAUAUGAGACCUCAGGAUUUCAUGUAUUUAAGCCAGGAAUUUCGGGAUCAGGACGCCUCCUACCACCCCCUUAUAUAUAUGGUCUGUUCCUGUCUGUGUUGGCGUUUCUUUUUGUUGCAGGUUGUUGUCGUCUUCUUAUAGUUUAUGUAUUUCAUUCUGUUUUAGUUUUUAACCAGGGAUUUUUUUUUCUUUGUUGAUUUAAGUCUUUUGAACAGUGGUAUACUGCUGUUGCCUUUAUAUAUUAUAAUAGAUAAAUCUAAAUGCAAUGUAUAUUAAUGAUAUGCUUAUUUAUAGAGGCCAG